AUUGAACGCUGGCGGUAUGCUUAAGACAUGCAAGUCGAACGGUAACAGGUUAAGCUGACGAGUGGCGGACGAGUGAGUAACGCGUGGGAAUCUACCUUGUAGUGGGGGAUAAGCCAGGGAAACGUUGGACUAAUACCGCAUACGCCCUAAGGGGAAAGGCGCAAGUCGCUAUAAGAUGAGCCCGCGUCUGAUUAGGUAGUUGGUGGGGUAAAGGCCUACCAAGCCGACGAUCAGUAGCUGGUCUGAGAGGAUGAUCAGCCACGUCGGGACUGAGACACGGCCCGGACUCCUACGGGAGGCAGCAGUCGGGAAUAUUGGACAAUGGGGGAAACCCGUGAUCCAGCAAUACCGCGUGUGUGAAGAAGGCCUGCGGGUUGUAAAGCACUUUCAGUUGGGAAGAUAAUGACGUUACCAACAGAAGAAGCACCGGCUAAC
This 435-nucleotide ribosomal RNA is filed under the name uncultured bacterium. Its description in RNAcentral is "bacterial SSU rRNA". It matches the Rfam family "Bacterial small subunit ribosomal RNA", at positions 30 to 501 of the family's 1533-position model. The record is from RNAcentral.